This is a non-coding RNA of Ictidomys tridecemlineatus (thirteen-lined ground squirrel), 109 nucleotides long. The record is from Rfam. NCBI's taxonomy places the organism in Eukaryota, Metazoa, Chordata, Mammalia, Rodentia, Sciuridae.
UUCCUUUUGGUUCAUAAGUGUGAUGAUUACUGAGUGGUCAAGUGGCUGUUCUGGGAGAUGUGCCUUGCUCUGAACCUUGUUACCACAUCUGCACAUUACCCAUCUGUUG